UGCAUCCAAAUGGUUCCAGAUUUUAUCUUUCCUCUUGAUCUCAGCACGUGGAUAUAAUUAUAUUUGUUUAGUCUACAAAAACUCCCAUUUGAAAAAGUUAAAAGAGUUUUGGAUUUUUUUUCAAUUGAUUCGCUUCGUUCCGUUUGACAUUUUUUAUUUAGUUUUUGUUCUGUUGCUGAAGGAAUGGAGCUGAUUCUUGGAGUCAUAAAUUUUGUACACCUGUAUAUAUUUUUGCAGAUAAUUAAUUUCUGAAGCCAUUUAGGCAUGUGUUAGAUGUCAACUUUUCUUUAGUCAUUUUCACUUCUGUGCUUUUAUGUUAUUGAUGUGAACUAAUUAUUCCAGUUAGGAGCCGCAAAGAUUUUGUUUUCUUAAUUGUCUAGUA
This 382-nucleotide unclassified non-coding RNA is filed under the name Hevea brasiliensis (rubber tree). The record is from RNAcentral. Lineage: Eukaryota; Viridiplantae; Streptophyta; Magnoliopsida; Malpighiales; Euphorbiaceae.